RNAcentral lists this long non-coding RNA (1085 nucleotides) under Numida meleagris (helmeted guineafowl). Its description in RNAcentral is "lncRNA (ENSNMEG00000015500.1)". The record is from RNAcentral. Lineage: Eukaryota; Metazoa; Chordata; Aves; Galliformes; Numididae.
ACUUCAUUGGGAAUCCAAAGCUGAAGAGCAAACAAAGUUGUCAAUACCAUAAAAAAUUAGCUUCUGCAUAUUAUGUUCUUCUCUCUGUUGCUUUUUCUGUUCUCCAAACCAGAUUUUCCUUAGCAUGUCGAAGGAGGUAAUCUACUGUACUAUAUUAUCUAACGUAGUCCACUCCUCGUGCAUUACCUAUAUAAGGUAGCUUCAGCGCUCCCAAAUGCAGCUUCUUUCUGCAUUAAUUCACUCCUGAGCAGCUGUGUCCAGGUUCAGUGCUCAAUGAAAAUGUGAAGCUGCUGGUUGAAAACUUCAGCUCGCUCUGCUCAUCCAAUCUGGCUUUUUUUUUUUUUCCCCUCUACAGCAGGCCAUGCUCAGUCCUUUGAUCAAAGUAACCCUGGACUUUGGUCUGAAUGCAAUUUGAACUUUACAAAUUGGGUCUCCCUCAGCUAACAAAGUGGGCAUUUUACUCCUUUUCCUGCUUGCAGCAACAAAUUCCAUGCUUCUGUACACAGCUGGUAGCAUUUUAGGCAAUCCCUAUGUAAUCUAUUAUAAUUUUUUUCUUCCUUCCACAGUGUGUGGGUCUUCCAAAUGGUGAAAAUCAACCAUUGCCUGACUAUAAUUCUCUUCAAAUACAGGUUUCAGCAGAGCUCCCUAUGGGAGCAAUCCAGGUGCCUGAACACAGAUGUGUCGUGUCAUUGGGGAUGAUUUAGGCUAGCUGAGAUGCCCACACAGGGCUAUAGGAACUAUGGAAGACACACGCCUUUCCAGAAGGGCAGCCAGAGCCAAGGCAGCUGUGAUAGUCUCUAACAUCUCAACUAAUUUCAAACACCUGAAUCAUUCCUUCACCACCUCCAGGAGAUUCCACACCAUUAAAGGGGCAGAUUGCUUCUGUGCUUGUUAGCUGAAUGCACUACACAAGUUUGCCCCAUACAUUAUCAAGUGUCAAUAAUGGAUUAUUUCAUGAUAGUAUAGAAACCAGCACUUCAGUUCUGCACUGGGAUUCCCACCCUUGCAAGGGCAAACAUCAGUAUGUUUGUACUAUAAGCCUAAUGUUUACAGGGAUAGCUCAACAACAGCAACGAACACAAUGG